RNAcentral lists this ribosomal RNA (186 nucleotides) under Triticum aestivum (bread wheat). RNAcentral's name for it is "partial small subunit ribosomal RNA". The record is from RNAcentral. Lineage: Eukaryota; Viridiplantae; Streptophyta; Magnoliopsida; Poales; Poaceae.
CGGAAUGCUUGCGUGGGGACCCUUGCCAUGUUGAUCUCUUGGCAGAUUUGGAAUGAGCGGAAUGCUCGCGUCUUCCACCAUGUCCAGGCCCACCCAAAGACCAUUCUGUCAAAACUCAAGGGCGAGUCACGUUUAUGGCAGAAGACCGGCGCCAAGCAUUUGAGCUUCAUGAUAUUGGGAGAGUAA